GCCUAGCCAAAACGCAUUUCGAAAAAAGAUAUCGCUAACGAAUCGAUAAAAAAUGUAUGGGAAUGACAGGUACCGUAGAUGAGUUUGUCGAAAAAUAUUAACGAAUACAAAAAUGUUAGCCAAGUUGCAAUGUUGUAACGAAACGCAAAACUUUCGUUACUGGAAUUCGAUAUCUGUCAUACAUUGCCUAGCCGAGUGACACUUUUGACAUGCGAAAUCGAAUCGUUAUCGCCUCCUAGGUGUCGAUACGUAGCGAGAGCUAUCCCCUUGCAGAUAACUUAUCGAAGCACAAGAAAAUGCCGUAUAAUAGUGUUUGUAAAUUAGAAUUUGUAGUAAAAAGCAUACUUUAACAUUAUUGUGGGCGGCGAACAACGCGGAAGUCUCGCUUAGACGCAGGCGCCGUCUGAAAAAUCGCCUAUUGGAACUGCUUAGGAAAGGACUGCCCUUAGCUGGUGGCUGGUGGCUUUAUGCUACGGGGUCAGAUCAAAGGAUAGUGGGCCGUACGCAGCAUUUCACCCAAAGGAUCCAAUGUGACCGAGGCGCUGAAUAUCUACCUAUCUAUAUUGACAGUGUCAUGGAAAAAUGGAUUAUGCACCCACAAAUGCAACACGAAACAACGUCCCUGCAAAGGUGACUUGGAUAUUCAUUGCAGCCUUGACAUAUUUAUGGUGCUCCAAAGCCAGGGUCAAGGGAAGAAACUAUGACACAUGUACAACCACAAAAAUAUAUUGAGUGUUGUUUUACUAUUUUAAAACACUACAUAAUAUAUGUGCAAACAAGAAAAGAAUGCUUGGCUACUGAUUUUAUGCUGCCGGCAAAAAAUACCUGCUGUAUCUUUCAUUAAUAGAUUUCCAAUAAAAUAAAUUAACUUUUAACCCAAUCAUUGUUUCAUUCAUUUAUUUAUGGUGGUUACCACCUUAACCUUUGGUAUGCUUAGGAGCAGAUCUGCUCCCAUGUACUUACCUAUAUUCAACUUUAAAAAAUGCAUUAAUUUUGACGACCGGUCUGACCUAGUGGGUAGUGACCCUGCCUGCUAAGCCGAUGGUCCUAGGUUCGAAUCCCAGUAAGGGCAUUUAUUUGUGUGGUGAACACUAAUAUUUGUUCCUGAGUCAUGGGUGUUUUCUAUGUAUAUAAGUAUGUAUUUAUCUAUAUAAGUAUGUAACAUUCUUACACAGAUUCACUAAGUCCCACAGUAAGCUCAAGAAGGCUUGUGUUGUGGGUACUCAGACAACGAUAUAUAUAAUAUACAAAUACUUAAAUACAUAGAAAACACCCAUGACUCAGAAACAAAUAUCUGUAUCAUCAUACAAAUAAAUGCCCUUACUGGGAUUCGAACCCAGGACCAUCGGCUUCGCAGGCAGGGUCACUAC
Molecule: long non-coding RNA, 1370 nt
Organism: Cydia fagiglandana
Lineage: Eukaryota; Metazoa; Arthropoda; Insecta; Lepidoptera; Tortricidae
Exons: 3
Source: RefSeq, a predicted model, not a curated record